Molecule: long non-coding RNA, 1664 nt
Organism: Bombyx mori (domestic silkworm)
Lineage: Eukaryota; Metazoa; Arthropoda; Insecta; Lepidoptera; Bombycidae
Exons: 2
Source: RefSeq, a predicted model, not a curated record
UAAUUUAAGGGGGUUUUGAGUAGACAGUACCGUAAAAUGGGGCGAUUAGGGACAAAUUCCAACUUUAUGAGCAAUUUUAAGGUAGUUGUUGAUGUAUAUAAUGCUAUAUCAAGAUCAAAAUGAUUGAGUCUUGGGGGCAUCUUUGUUGUCUAAUUUAAAAUUAUGCAAUUAACAUUCCAGUUUAAGCAAAAAAUGCAAAACUAGGUGUAAUCCCUAUUUACCCGAAAAUUGCGGUUAAUUGGGACGAAAUGAGAAAUUUGCUAGGGUUGGCACUACUUUUAUUUUUAUAUAUAGUUUUAAUUUAUUUAUUUAUUUAGUUGCACCAACAAAGUGAUCAUCAAUAAAAAAAAUUGAAAAACUGACAAAAGUACAUGGCAGACAUCACCUCAAUUAUAGGUGCAAUCGACAGUGCUGAUAUUUCUAUCUGGGUUAAGAGAUUAGGUGUGUCGGUUAUUCCAUGGAUUAAUCAGAUGAAUACCCCCACUCUGAACAAAUAUUAAAUAUUUUAUUAUGUAUUACUUAGACAUUUUUGUCCACCUUGAGAUUUCAUUUAUCUUGUUACAUGUCUCUGCAAAAUCGACUUACUUAUAUUAAAUUGCUUAUCUAUUUCAACUAAAGACUUAUUCCCAAUUUCGCUUCGAAUAAACCAGAUUUUUACCAACAAAUUUAAAAAAUAUUGUUAUAACUACAUAGACAACCCUACAAACCUGUACCUAUUUAUACUUAGGUCGUUUCCAUUUCACGUUAUUUCAUCCCAAUUGACCCCUUUUUCGUUGUUAUUUAUACCUAAGACGUCCCCAAUAUCCCCAAAAACAACAGAUUUUUACAUGUAUUUUUAUUUAAUCAAAUACAUUAAAACCAAUAACAACUGAGACUUACCUUUAAUAUAUAUGCUGGUUCAAACACUAAAUAACGUUUAUAAAUCAUAGUCGUCUUCUAUUAUUAUCAAAUAAAUAAAAGAGAGCAAAGUUUCUAGCACUAAAACAAUUACCACCACAGGAAGUUAAUUUGAAACGCGAUUUUUUAUAAGUUAGCAGCUAUUAUCAUGCAUAUUCAGAGUUGUUUUGUGAACUUUCAACAUUCUACUAUUAAACUACAAAAAAUGGAAGAUUUUGCAACGAAUUUAAAACUUAUAUUGAGCGUCGAAAGAUUUUCCCGGUUUUUUCCCGAUUCGCCUCUCAAUCCCUAAUCGCCCCAUUUUACCGGUAUAUAAAUAUAAUAUAUAACUUUAUAUGUAAAUGAACGAAACUAAGAUGUCAUGUAAAUUUGUAAGUGGUUAAUAUAAUGUUUUGUAAAAGUGUAAAUAGAAAUGUAAAACACAGUGCAUUAAAUUAUAUUUAAGUGUUAUUAAAUUUUUUGAGGCUAUAAAUAAUUUCAUUUAAAUGUAUCAUAAAUUUAUUCAAUGUUUCCUCUUUUUUUGUAAUUUCAUUGCAAUCUUUAAAGUCUAUGUUAUUUAUUCGACAUAUAGUCUCAAAUUCAUACCUUGUAUUAAAAUAUUUUGGACAAUGAUAUAAUAAAUGUUCCAUCGUUUGUAUGGUGUUUGAAUCGCAGGGACAAAAAGGGUCUUGUGUUAUACGAAAUCUGUGAUGUAUAAUCUGGAAAUAUCUGCUUGGUGUAUUUACAAUUAUCUACUUCAUUAUACAGAUUAGUAAUUUCUUUAGUAA